UCCUGGGACACACACCAACGCCGGAGCGCUUGGUGGCUGAGUACGGCAAAGAUUAAUAGUUCUCCAACAGCUAGGGCUCGGCACACGGAUGCACCACUAGAGCCACCACUAGCUGGUUCCACACUUAAUAUAAUCACACAAAUGUGCCCGAUGGGCGCGUGGAGUGCCAGACAACACCCAGGAGCUCGGAAGCUCGACACUGAAAGGGGUGCUUCGGCUACGAAUCCUGACCCACUGCUAGCCAGAUCAACCACGCCAAAAGCUCACAAGCUGGAUAAUAACAGC
This 285-nucleotide long non-coding RNA is filed under the name Volvox carteri. RNAcentral describes it as "long non-coding RNA (VCAR_LNC003515)". Lineage: Eukaryota; Viridiplantae; Chlorophyta; Chlorophyceae; Chlamydomonadales; Volvocaceae. The record is from RNAcentral.